AAUAUUGGACAAUGGGGGCAACCCUGAUCCAGCCAUGCCGCGUGUGUGAAGAAGGUCNNNGGAUUNUCAAGCACUUUAAGUUGNGAGNAAGGGCUUUAGGCUAAUACCCUGAAGUUUUGACGUUACCAACAGAAUAAGCACCGGCUAACUCUGUGCCAGCAGCCGUGGUAAUACAGAGGGUGCAAGCGUUAAUCGGAAUUACUGGGCGUAAAGCGGGGGUGGUUGGUUCAGAAGAUUGGGUGUGAGGUCCCGGGCUUAACCUGGGAACUGCUUUCAUAACUGCUGAGCUAGAGUACGGUAGAGGGUAGUGGAAUUUCCUGUGUAGCGGUGAAAUGCGUAGAUAUAGGAAGGAACACCAGUGGCGAAGGCGACUACCUGGACUGAUACUGACACUGAGGUGCGAAAGCGUGGGGAGCAAAC
This 420-nucleotide ribosomal RNA is filed under the name uncultured bacterium. RNAcentral's name for it is "partial 16S ribosomal RNA". It matches the Rfam family "Bacterial small subunit ribosomal RNA", at positions 360 to 773 of the family's 1533-position model. The record is from RNAcentral.